AUGGAUCCAGCUAGACCAGAUCUGUCCCCACACUUUUUGAUGCGCUACGGGGUCAUAUUGAAAGCAGCCACUGAAGCUCCUAGGCCGGAGGCCAGGUUAGUAGCAGUCGAGCUGCUGGAUGACAUUUUGUGGGAGGAACCCUGGUUGUUUGAGUUCCCGGGUGUGGCAAAGCUGUGGGUUGAGGUGGGUGCGAUGCGCGAUGAGCUACAACGCGCACUAUUUCGCCCCCCUCUUCCAGACUCGGAGGUUCGUUUUUGUACCGGGCCUCCAGACUUCCAUGGACAGUCGCUCAUCUCCAGCUCGUGGGUUGGCGCGAAGAUGAGCAUCCCUGAUUCGGCUCACACAACGAACUUCACUGCAUCUGUUGCACAGCCCCCGAGACGUCAGCGUUCAAGGCGGAAGACGCUGCGCUCGACGAGACAGCAAUGGAGGGCUGCUGUUCUCGCUCCUCCAGACCGGCACUUGGAGGACCAAGUGUCGGAGCCCGCUGGCCGUCGGCCGGCAACCGUGUCAGCGGGAGACCCUCUUACCCCGCGCUCUUGGGAGGGAGCACUGGAUGGGGAGUCACAGCGUGAGGAUGCCGCUGUUCAGACUCCUACACCUGCACCAAGGCACUUCAAGGAGGAAGCGUCGACGGGUGCAGAUCGGCAGUUCACUACUGCUGUGCCAACUCCACGGUCCCAGCGUUUGGAGGAGACGCAGGGCGUGGAAAUACAGCGGGGCAGUCCCGUUGCACAACAUCUGGUUCUGGUUUCGGCCCCUCGGCGUGGAACGUCAACGCCGCAGCCGAACUUCCCAGUACCUGCACCACGGUGCCAUAAGGUGGUGGCGCCGUUCAGUGCGAUUCAGCGCGACAGCACAUCAGCUGUUGCCUUCACCUCUUCAUGUCUGGCUCCGGUUCCGGCUCCACGUCUGGUUUCGUCUCUGGCUCCGGUUCCGGCUCCACGUCUGCCCUCCAAGAAGGGCGCUUCUCUGAGGGUGGGGCUGCUUCUUGUUUCUCCGAUGGCAGCACGGCGUGAGGUUCCUGUCGCCAAGCCACGUUUGACCCUUGAGGUUCCUGGUGGUCCAGUGGAGGCCACGUUUCGUCGCGGUGGUCCAGGGAGGACGCCGCUGGUUCCCGUUUGUCGUCGCGGUGGUCCAAGGAGGACGCCGCUGGUUCCCGUUUGUCGUCGCGGUGGUCCAAGGAGGACGCCGCUGGUUCCCGUUUGUCGUCGCGGUGGUCCAAGGAGGACGCCGCUGGUUCCCGUUUGUCGUCGCGGUGAUCCAAGGAAGACGCCGCUGGUUCCCGUUCGUCGUCUUGGUGGUCCACAAGGGGCCUUAGGGCUCAUGGGGGCUAUGCCACCGGACUGGUUGCCUUGCCACCAUAAUCACCCGCUGCUAUGCUGGCCCUGCCUCUACCGUCGACGCCCACCCAGGGAGCUGGGCCCGUGUUCAGGGGCACCAGGAGUGCCAGUUGACUCCCAGCGGCUGCUGGGUUGGACCCUGCCUCGUUGGCACCCACCAUGA
This 1506-nucleotide long non-coding RNA is filed under the name Betta splendens (Siamese fighting fish). RNAcentral describes it as "lncRNA (ENSBSLG00000021864.1)". The record is from RNAcentral. Lineage: Eukaryota; Metazoa; Chordata; Actinopteri; Anabantiformes; Osphronemidae.